CAGGUUGAAGGUUGGGGAACACUAACUGGAGGACCGAACCCACUGUCGUUGAAAAGCCAGGGGAUGACUUGUGGAUAGGGGUGAAAGGCUAAUCAAACUCGGUGAUAGCUGGUUCUCCCCGAAAGCUAUUUAGGUAGCGCCUCGGACGAACACCAUUGGGGGUAGAGCACUGUUUCGGCUAGGGGGUCAUCCCGACUUACCAAACCGAUGCAAACUCCGAAUACCUACAAGUGCCGAGCAUGGGAGACACACGGCGGGUGCUAACGUCCGUCGUGAAAAGGGAAACAACCCAGACCGUCAGCUAAGGUCCCAAAGUCAUGGUUAAGUGGGAAACGAUGUGGGAAGGCUUAGACAGCUAGGAGGUUGGCUUAGAAGCAGCCAUCCUUUAAAGAAAGCGUAACAGCUCACUGGUCUAAAUAAGGGUUCCUGCGGCGAAGAUGUAACGGGGCUAAAGUAAUGCACCGAAGCUUAGGGUUCAGAAUUUAUUCUGAGCGGUAGCGGAGCGUUCCGUAAGCGGAUGAAGCCGAAGGGUAACCGACGGUGGACGUAUCGGAAGUGCGAAUGCUGACAUGAGUAGCGACAAACAGUGUGAGAUGCACUGUCGCCGAAAGCCCAAGGGUUCCUGCUUAAAGCUAAUCUGAGCAGGGUGAGUCGGCCCCUAAGACGAGCCCGAAGGGGGUAGUCGAUGGGAACACGGUUAAUAUUCCGUGACCUGGUGGAAUGUGACGGAUCUCGUGUGUUGUCUGAUCUUAUUGGAUUGAUCAGGCUUCGAAGAGGUUCCAGGAAAUAGCUCCACCAUAUAGACCGUACCCUAAACCGACACAGGUGGAUAGGUAGAGAAUACUAAGGCGCUUGAGAGAACUCGGGUGAAGGAACUAGGCAAAAUGGCACCGUAACUUCGGGAGAAGGUGCGCCGGUGAGGGUGAAGGACUUGCUCCGUAAGCUCAUGCCGGUCGAAGAUACCAGGCCGCUGCGACUGUUUAUUAAAAACACAGCACUCUGCAAACACGAAAGUGGA
Molecule: ribosomal RNA, 1018 nt
Filed under: Heterosigma akashiwo
Lineage: Eukaryota; Raphidophyceae; Chattonellales; Chattonellaceae
Description: partial Bacterial large subunit ribosomal RNA
Rfam family: Bacterial large subunit ribosomal RNA
Source: RNAcentral